RNAcentral lists this ribosomal RNA (301 nucleotides) under uncultured bacterium. RNAcentral's name for it is "partial 16S ribosomal RNA". It matches the Rfam family "Bacterial small subunit ribosomal RNA", at positions 509 to 807 of the family's 1533-position model. The record is from RNAcentral.
CAGCAGCCACGGGAAAACGGAGGGAGCUAGCGUUGUUCGGAAUUACUGGGCGUAAAGCGCACGUAGGCGGCUUGGUAAGUUAGAGGUGAAAGCCCGGAGCUCAACUCCGGAAUUGCCUUUAAGACUGCCGAGCUAGCAGGUGAGAGAGGUAAGUGGAAUUCCGAGUGUAGAGGUGAAAUUCGUAGAUAUUCGGAAGAACACCAGUGGCGAAGGCGGCUUACUGGCUCAUACUGGACGCUGAGGUGCGAAAGCGUGGGGAGCAAACAGGAUUAGAUACCCGGGUAGUCCCUGUCUCUUAUAC